RNAcentral lists this ribosomal RNA (1123 nucleotides) under uncultured Herbaspirillum sp. RNAcentral's name for it is "bacterial SSU rRNA". It matches the Rfam family "Bacterial small subunit ribosomal RNA", at positions 8 to 1130 of the family's 1533-position model. The record is from RNAcentral. Lineage: Bacteria; Pseudomonadati; Pseudomonadota; Betaproteobacteria; Burkholderiales; Oxalobacteraceae.
AGAGUUUGAUCCUGGCUCAGAUUGAACGCUGGCGGCAUGCCUUACACAUGCAAGUCGAACGGCAGCACGGGAGCUUGCUCCUGGUGGCGAGUGGCGAACGGGUGAGUAAUAUAUCGGAACGUGCCCUAGAGUGGGGGAUAACUAGUCGAAAGAUUAGCUAAUACCGCAUACGAUCUAAGGAUGAAAGUGGGGGAUCGCAAGACCUCAUGCUCGUGGAGCGGCCGAUAUCUGAUUAGCUAGUUGGUGAGGUAAAGGCUCACCAAGGCGACGAUCAGUAGCUGGUCUGAGAGGACGACCAGCCACACUGGAACUGAGACACGGUCCAGACUCCUACGGGAGGCAGCAGUGGGGAAUUUUGGACAAUGGGCGCAAGCCUGAUCCAGCAAUGCCGCGUGAGUGAAGAAGGCCUUCGGGUUGUAAAGCCCUUUUGUCAGGGAAGAAACGGUAGAGGCUAAUAUCCUUUACUAAUGACGGUACCUGAAGAAUAAGCACCGGCUAACUACGUGCCAGCAGCCGCGGUAAUACGUAGGGUGCAAGCGUUAAUCGGAAUUACUGGGCGUAAAGCGUGCGCAGGCGGUUGUGCAAGACAGAUGUGAAAUCCCCGGGCUUAACCUGGGAAUUGCAUUUGUGACUGCACAGCUAGAGUGUGUCAGAGGGGGGUAGAAUUCCACGUGUAGCAGUGAAAUGCGUAGAUAUGUGGAGGAAUACCGAUGGCGAAGGCAGCCCCCUGGGAUAACACUGACGCUCAUGCACGAAAGCGUGGGGAGCAAACAGGAUUAGAUACCCUGGUAGUCCACGCCCUAAACGAUGUCUACUAGUUGUCGGGUCUUAAUUGACUUGGUAACGCAGCUAACGCGUGAAGUAGACCGCCUGGGGAGUACGGUCGCAAGAUUAAAACUCAAAGGAAUUGACGGGACCCGCACAAGCGGUGGAUGAUGUGGAUUAAUUCGAUGCACGCGAAAACCUUACUACCCUUGACAUGUACGGAAUCUGAGAGAUUUAGGAGUGCUCGAAAGAAGAGCGUACACAGUGCUGCAUGCUGUCGGUCAGCUCGUGUCCGUGAGAUGGUGGAUAGUCCCGCCACGAGGCGCACCCUUGUUCACUUAGUUGCUACGAAGGUACU